AAUGAACGUUGGCGGCGUGGAUUAGGCAUGCAAGUCGUGCGCGAACUGUAGCAAUACAGGGAGAGCGGCGAAAGGGAGAGUAAUACAUAGGUACCUACCCCCGGGCCUGGGAUAGCGGCGGGAAACUGCCGGUAAUACCAGAUAACGUCCCCGGACCAAAGAUGUGCCUUCACCUGGGGAGGGGCCUAUGGCCUAUCAGCUUGUUGGCAGGGUAACGGACUACCAAGGCAAAGACGGGUAUGGGGCGUGGGAGCGUGCCCCCCCUCACUGGGACUGAGACCCUGCCCAGACACCUCCGGGUGGCUGCAGUCGAGAAUCUUCGGCAAUGGGCGCAAGCCUGACCGAGCGACGCCGCGUGCGGGAUGAAGGCCUUCGGGUUGUAAACCGCUGUCGUAGGGGAGGAAGGGCCUGUGAAGAACAGGACUUGACCGAUCCUAGGAGGAAGGGCCGGCUAAUCUCGUGCCAGCAGCCGCCGUAA
RNAcentral lists this ribosomal RNA (478 nucleotides) under uncultured bacterium. Its description in RNAcentral is "partial 16S ribosomal RNA". It matches the Rfam family "Bacterial small subunit ribosomal RNA", at positions 28 to 523 of the family's 1533-position model. The record is from RNAcentral.